UAGUGUAACUUUGACUGUUAAUUGUUGCUUUCUUUUCAGUGAAAUUCUGUCUGCAACUGAGACCCCAGAUUUGUUCAAGUACUUCAGCAAAGUCCUGAUGAAAGUUCUGGACCCUGAAAGAAGCAAAACAACUAUAAGCAAUAAAAUCAGAAGGAUCGUGGAAUCACAGAAUCACCAAGGUCAGAAAAGACCUCUAAGAUCAUCCAGUCCAACUGUCCACCAACAUUUCCCACUGAACCAUGUCCCUCAGUACAACAUUCAAAUGUUUCUUGAACACCUCCAGGAACGGUGACCCCACUGUCAUGCAGCUUGUGUCAGCACCUGACCACUCUUUAAGAUAACGUACUUGCAAAAAAAAAUAACGUGUGUACAUCAGUAAGUCAAUUCCUUAACGUUUUAUAUCUUUGCGAGUUGUGUGCAAACACAUGUAUGUAUGAUACUUCUGCUGCUCAGCUCAGAUGGUCUUAGCUGGUUUUGUAUUUGUUGGAAAAACACUGAAGUAGUUUUAUUAUAAAGAGCUAGCAGCGUGGUUCUUUGUAGAUUGGCUGGGUAAAGCAGAGCUGAACAUUUCUCAAGGGUCAUGGAAAGCUUCUUAAGCUUCAGUUAAGGAAUACAUUGGAGAGAGAUGAGAAAUAAGGAAAAUCAAGCGUACUCAAAGGUAGAGAAAAAUUUAAGAAGCUCUGUAGUAUGAAGUUCAAAAAGCUAAAAUAACACAGGAAGGGUGAGAGAAAAUCAGAAAUAGAGAAAUAAGUACAGGAAAUACCUUGACAAAAUUUUGAAUGUUCCUUCCCUCCCUAUUGCAAAGGAAUUUGUUUUAAAAGGAAAUUCAGUCAAGUACUGUUAGCUAGAGAAAGAUCUUUGGAAAAGUAACCACAGGAAUUGUUGCAAAUUGCAAAAACAGACUUUGUUUUUUGUUGCUUAAUGGAGAAAUUUACACUUAAGUGCUUUCAUUUUGAUUAAGAAUAUACAGUUGAAAGUGGAACAAAUACCUCUUUCACAAAACAUGCCUCACGAUUCUCUUCUUUGCAGCACUGUUCCCUCAUGGCAGUAAAAGCCACAGUGAUGGAAGUCAACUGCUCCUGUGUGAUCUGGGGCUUGUAUUUGAUGAGGUUGAUGAGCAUUCUGCAAGGGAAGCAAAGUCCUGUGAAGCUGGAAGGUGGGGUCAGGGCUUUGUCAGACAAAGGAACUUGUCUAGAAAAGAAAUGGAUCAAACCUGUUGAAUCAAGACAUAAGCAUCAUUUAGGUGCAGAUCUGCUUUCAGCUGACAUAUGACAUCCACAAUGUAUUUCAAAAUGCGUAUGCCUAAGGGACUACAGUGAAGCAUCCAGGAAGCCCUGGAACAAGCAACAUAUUGCAUCUUAACAAUGAGUGUGGCCAGUCUACUGCUGAAGCAAAGAAGCCAAAGCCUUGUUUCGUGAGCAUCAGGAAGACUCACAAAGCCUUUAUUGUCCGUUCUCCAAACUUCUUCAGGAUUCCACAUGUGUGUUCCUGCCUCAGGCCAUCUUCUCUGAUGGGCUUCACCACCUUUGGGGCCUAGUAGAAAGACAGUACAGACUGUGAAAAUGGAAGAAAGCCAAGGAAAUGCUUUGUGGUAAAACUACUCAUUUAAGUAGUUAAGUAGCAUUCAAGUCAUAUUUCACCCUGUCCUUAGCAGGGUGAAUUCUAACAUCAGAUGCAGAGGCUGAAAAAGAAAUAAUCAAUAGCUCUCUUUGAGCAUUUGUUUUGUUAUGGGAAAGCCACUGGUCCCAUGCUACAAAACCAAACCUCACUUUGUAAUACCUGUCUCCGAAAGCAUUCCUCCAGGUUAUGAGUGGAGUCUUCAGCGCUUCUGCAGCAGUCCUUCAUCAUCUCAUCAUAAUGGAUAGCAACAGAAAGGAUUGUAGGGGCAUAGAGGAAAGGAUGCCUUCUGGAAACCUCAUAGAUAAAACUAAAACAGAGAUAAAUGUUUUUAAUAUCAGAUUAAGCCUUGAAACGUAGGGAGCUGCAGUGGUAUUGUAGCAAAACAACAAGCUGUAUGAUGCAGUGUGUCUUGGAAGAAUUCUGACAUUUUUCUGGAAAUUAAAGGCUGAGAUCCUUCCAGUUCUGGUCUAGAGGCAGCGGAACAUCUGCUUGGCUUUUAAGGACUAAAGACAAAUCCCUAGUAUUUCAGGUGAGUGCUUUAUUUAAACUACAAUGAGAUAUAUCAGAUUGUUUUAUUUUUUAUUUGUUUGGACCUAUAUUCAAAGUAGGCUUUGGUAGAACAGGUUUCACAUGAUGAGAAAUAGACCUGGAUGAAUUAUUCAAAUAUUUAUCAUUAGGAAGAAAAAAGAGGAUGGCUCUACAGCAAGUCUCAUUGAACUUUUUGUUUGAUACUGCAUUUGUGGUCUCAAGGCUCGUAACCACUAUAUGCAGACAACAAAUCUAUGAGUCAUUUACUUACUAUCCUGGUAAUGAAUGGCGAUGCUCUGAAUAAUUUUUGCAGGCAACUUCAGCAUUUGGCCUUUCAAAAGGAGAAAUGAAUCCUUUUGAUGAAUUUUUAAGGGAGAGGAAGCAAUCAUUUCUUUCAGGGUCCUUUUUAGCACAGCAGUCAGUAAAUCCAGGAAGAUUGUCCUCCUGGCAUAUAGUGUUGAGGAAGAUCCUGUCCUGUGAAAAAUUAGGAAAAAAAGCUAAUGUGUGUGAGGAUUCUAUUUCACCCCCAUGAGUUUUCUGAGGAGACUUUUUAACCCAAAAAGCCCUAAUUUGCGUAAAUGUAUAGUUUCUCUCUUUACUACCGCUGCUUUGCCUGCAGCGUCAGAGUGACUUCUAAAACAUAUGUCAAUUUCUGGUACCUACUAUUAUGCCAAGAUAGACUUUAUUAUGAGACAGUUUUCAAACAUAUUGUUCAGCUUCCACUGAACUUAAAACAUUCAGACCCUCAUUUCUUGAUUAGAGUCAAGAUGAUUGUUUGAUUUGUAUAUCUCAACGGGAUCCAUAUUCUUUUCUAAUUAAAAUCAGUGUGUAGUGACAAGUCUCAGGUUUGUGUAACAACAGUUCUCAGGUUCCUUGUUCAUCACAUAGCAAUGCUCAGGUUUGCUGUCAGUCAUGCUUCAGCUGGGAAUUGUUUUAAUUCAGGAUUUGCGUCAGCCCCUUGCUUAACAAAUAUAAGAGUUGUAACAGACUGAUAUCCAUUUUCCAUGAUUCAAUCUGCUGAUCUCUGACAGUACAUUGAAGUGGACUCCACUGAAUACUAGCAAUGUGAGUUAAUGGAGUGGAGAAAGCUCCUAUGAGCAUCAUAGUUGCUAGAAAUAUGUAAUCUGACUUCUACUGAGUUCUGUUAUGAUAGACAUAAAAGCACAAGUUUACAAACAUUUUAAGAGGUCAAGGAUUUCAAAAGCUACUGUGUUAUUUUCUAUGAAGGACUUUGUCAUCCUUUGCUCAUCUUGAGAUGUCUUUUAGGUGGGAGCAUGGAGAAGGAAAGAGUCAAUAAGAGCAAACAUUCACACACAAGUAAACCAUGUCUCCUAAUAUCUUACUCCUGCUGGAAAAAUGCAUACCAGUACCCUGAAAUUAUGUCACUUCUGAAAAUCUGUACUGCAUUAAAAGUACAAGCUUGCUUACCAAAGGCUUCUGACAGUUUGGAUUGUCUCUGUCUACGUCAGUGCACCUUUUGGCAAAGUCUGUUACAGCUUCAGCCAUUUUAACCACUUGGCCAAAUGUGUUUCCUUGCACGUACUGCGCAAACAUGAUCAUGGCUCUAUAAGAAGAAUGGAGAUCAUUAAGAAUGCUUCUGUCUAUCUAAAAAAUAAAAAUAACUGUAUUACUUUUUGCACGAGACAGUAAGAGAGCUUCUAUCACCAAUUCGCUCAGGCUGAUGGAACAGGGAGUGUGCAACUUGCAUUGCGUGCUCAUCUCCAAAUGACACAAAAUGCCAUAGCAAAUUUGGCAAGCAAAUUUGCAAGUAGAUUCUUUACCCAGACAACUUACAUGGCUUUAAAAUUGUUCUCUUGCAGCUGAGAAAACCGUUGGCUGAUGCUGUUUUUUUCCUCUGAAAAACAAGAUAAUUAGCGUUUGAAUAGAAUAUGUUUCAAAUGCUUCAUCAAAUACUUUUCUUUUUUAAAUAUACAGGAGUUUCAGAAAAACAGAAUGCAGUGCCAGUAGUACUAUUACUAAAGUGGAGGGCAUGAGGCAAUGCUAUCUAUUUGACUUGAAGGUGGGAAACAAUUUGUUUUUGAGCUACAAUGUAAUUUCCCUGCCUAUUUCAUGCUUUGCGGAAGGGAGAUACAAUCAAACCUAGAAGGUGUUCAGCUAUGGUGGUACACAUCACAUGAUUAAAUAAACAUCUUAGAAACCA
Tympanuchus pallidicinctus (lesser prairie-chicken) is the source of this 4309-nucleotide long non-coding RNA. RefSeq lists it as uncharacterized. The record is from RefSeq and is a predicted model, not a curated record. Lineage: Eukaryota; Metazoa; Chordata; Aves; Galliformes; Phasianidae. The transcript has 4 exons.